CCCAUAGCGCGUUUUCCUUUCUCCCACAGAGAUAGAACAGAAACCAAUCUUCAAAAUGCAAACAUUCCCAGCCCCGUGCUUUUGUGCAGGCAUCUCGCUGUAUGCGCUGGGCACGGAGCGGCGCGCGCGCGCUCGCCUUUCCCUCGGCGGCCCCCCGCGGCUCGGACCCGGGACUGCAGACAGGCCAUCCAUCAUUCGCCCUCCUCCCGCGAGCUUGGCUGCCGCGGCCAAUCCGGCGGCAGGUGGGGCCGCACCUGCAGGACAGCCCGCCACUUCCCUCCGCUCUCUCCGCCGCGCCCGGCGUGUUAGCGAUGCCCUUGUGAGCCACUGCAUUCUCCAAGGCCAGAACGAGACAGAUAAGACUCUGGGAAUUUAUAGAAACAAACAUCAGAAGACUGAAAUGUGGAGAGAAGAAGGCUGCCUGACUAGGGAAUCUCAGGAAACAAGGAAAACAUCAAGAAUAUAGGCCCCGCUCUGCCUGAUGGUCACAGGAGCAGGAUAAGCCAACUUGCACCGUGAAGCUGAGUCACCUUGGCUGACUGAGCAAUAAUGCUGGAGAUGGGACCUGGUAGGAGGUGUCUGGAUCAUGGAGGGGGAUCCCUUGUGGCUUCGUGCUGUCUGCGUGAGUUCUUGCAAGACCUGGCCAUUUAAAAAGUGGUCAUCUAUGGAUUGCAGAGAGAGCAUCUACAUUUGUUGGGAAGUUAGGCUCCAUUUCUUCUGAGGACCCACUCAAGCUGUAGUUGGACACUUCUGAAAAUUAUCAAGACAAGGCUUGGAGCAGGCCAGCCUCUGAGUGGCUGCUCUCUUGCAGGAAAGCCUAAGCCUGAGAAUGGAAAUAUUUACAACAUGGGGGAAGAAAACCUGGCUUCCUUGCUCCAUCACAGAAACACAUCUUAACACAUCCGAGGUCAUGAGCUAAUAAGGAAAAGGAAUUAACUACAGCCUCUCCUGCCACAUGUCAAAGUUGAUUCUACUCUAGAUGAGUCUUAAUUAUGCCAGUGAAGUAUAAAGUUUAAUAGAAAGAAUGUGUUCCUGAAACUGUAACUUUCAUUGUAAUGACUAGGAAAGAUUUAAAGUAAACUGUGCUUUACAUGUGAUGAGCUUAAUUUGAAGCUACAGAAUUAAUUUUUGAUGCAAAAAACUCUAUAUCUCUCUUAAAACAGUGGCUGCCUUAUUGUCAUUUCCUGUAUAUGAAAUAUCUCACCCUAGGGAGAAUCCACAUCUAGAAAAUAUUUACCCUCUCAUUUUCUGAACCUGAGAUCUUUUUAUACUACAUUUUUAACUCAAAUUUAUUCUCUUUGCAGAGGAUAUAAAGCCUUUCUUUCUUUCUCUUUCUUUCUUUCCUUUCUCUCUCUCUCCCUUUCUUCCCUCCCUUCCCUUGCCUUCCCUUCCCUUGCCUCCCCUUCCCUCCCCUCCCCUCCCCUUCUCUCUCCUCCUCUCCUCCCUUUCCUUCCCCUCCCUCCCUUCCCCUCCUCUUCCCUCCUCUUCUUUUUUUCUUCCCUUCCCUUUCCUUUCUUCCUUCCAUGAUGACUCAAGAAAUUAAGAACAUGUUCAAGGUCACAUCACUUAUAAGUGACUGAACUGGGACUCAAACCAAGUUCUUUCUUACACUAACACUAGACAAUCUUCCUAAAUACUACAUCUCAUCCUAUAAGGGCAAUCAAAAUCAGAUCUCAUUCAUUUUACUAGUGAAUUAUAUUAUUUUCAUGGAGCUACAUAUAUGAAUAAUAUAGAUAAUUGCUUAUGUUAAUAAGUAAUUGCUUAUGCUAAGUAACAAUGUUAAUAACAAAUUUGAUCUAAAUAUUAGUCUUCAUAUUUGGGCAUGACUGCCUACAUAAAUUAUUUGUUUUGUGGGUUACCAGAUUAACAGUAUGUUAGCCAAUCUCUCUGUUUUUAAUUCUCAUCAUUAAGUUUUUUGGGUUAAAAUUUUUAUUUAGGAGAACUCUGCUAAACUACAAAACUAUAGGAUUUAACAGGCAAUUAUGCUAUUGUCACAUAAUGAUAUAUGCACUUCAGUUUUUCAGAUUAGAUGAUUGUUAUCUUGAAGGGAGGAAAAGAAGAGAGAAUUGGAAACAAUUCUCAAAAAUAAGGAGUUACGGUAAAAAUUCAGAGGUUAUAAUGUUAGCCAAGAGGGCUGGGGAUGUCUUAGAAAAUAGUCACUAGGUACCUAAAAGAAGAUGGUUGAAAAGGACAAAGCAUUAAAAGAACUGGUAGAACAGUUACUGAAUUCAGAUUUCACUUUUGAAGACUCUGUACUAGCAAACAACCAAAAAUGAGCUUUUCGAGUUUCGAGUAGAGUGGGUUUCACUGUGUGGUCUUCAGCAAGUCAUAACUUCCCCAAAUGUUUAUUUCCCCAUGGGGCUAUUAAUAACAACAUUCAGAUAUCAAGGGGUUGUUGAAAAAUUCAAAUAAAGCAAUGUGUGAAGUAAUAUUCUACAGCUGAUACUGUAAACACCAUUCAGUAAUAUUUUAAUAUGGCCGGGAGUGGUGACUCAUGCCUAUAAUCCCAGCACUUUGGGAGGCCAAGGUGGGUGGAUGACGAGGUCAGGAGUUCGAGAUCAACCUGGCCAAUAUGGUGAAACGCCAUCUCUACUAAAACUAUAAAAAUUAGCCGGGUGUGGUGGCAUGGACUAUAGUCCCAGCUGCUCUGCAGGCUGAGGCAGCAGUUUUGCUUGAACCCCCAGCAGGCAGAGGUUGCAGUGAGCCUAUAUUGUACCACUGCACUCCAGUUUGGGUGAUGGAGCAAGACUCUGUCUCAAAAUGUGUGUGUGUGUGUGUGUGUGUGUGUGUGUGUGUAUUAGUGAAAUCUGCAUCUAUGAAAUGAAACAAAAGGAUGAAUAAAGAAAAUUCGUGCAGGUUAAUAGUCACUAAUUAGAGCUUUUUAAAAAAUCAAAUUCCAUUAGUUUAUCUUCUGAACUCUACAUUCUGAUGAAGGGAGAAGCAAAGCCUCUUUUAUAUUUAAAUUCUCAUGACAUAUUUUGUGUCAGAUUGAUUAUAAACUUGCAACUGACUCGUCAAAUUUUGAGCUGGAGGGAGGCCCUUCCAUAUACCUGCAAUUCCCAUUGGAUAACUGAAAGUGUUUCUCCUUUCUCUUUGAUAUGAUAAAUUCCUGAAAGCCAUUAGUGAUUUAGGGACCUUUCUGAAGAAACUCUCUCCUUGAAUAGGAAAGCAGCAUUAAUGUUUUUAAACAGUCACUGGCUGCUUACAGCUAAGGAGCAGCAUCAGCAACAGCAAGAAAAUUAUUCUAAGUAAGACGGAAUCAACUAAGAAUUUCCAAACUUUAUUUUAUUUUUUUUUUUUCAGGAAACCAGAUGGGAACUGAUCAUUGACAUUUUCCAAAUGAGGCAUCAGUAGGGGCAAGCAAGUGGGGAUAAAGAUUCCAGACCUGCCUAAAUUCAACCUAACAUCAACUUUAGCAGCAGAUACGGGGCAGUUAAAAGUCCAGGCAGCCAUUACUUUAUCUUUACAGUAUACCUAUUCCUUUAAGGGACUUUGCUUUUGUUAUUUUUAACUUGAAGAAAAAAAAAACAGUUAGUGUUUUUCUUUUCAAAUAAUUAAAGGGAAAGGAAGUCUAAAGAGAGGCUGAGUGACAUCCAAUAUUCCCAAAUACUCUCUUGUUGCUUUAGGUGACUGGUACACUUAAUUAAGGAGGGUCCUGGGUCUAUCAUCGACCAGGGCCUGACCUGUGAGUGGGAGGGAUUGAGCUGUAACCUGACCGAGCCCAGGUGUGUGCCUGCAGGUCAUACACUGGGAAAACAUGUGGCCUCAGUAAGCCCUUCCCAAGCCUGACCAUGCCUUUAACUAUUUCGAGUCUUUCUCAAGUGUUCACAAUGUCACAUUCUUAGACUUUGUCAGCAUGCUUUCCUCUACAUUAACAAUUUCAAGUUGGAAAAGGAAAUGCAUAAGGUGAAGAGACUUGUUUCAGGUGAUAGAGUCUAAGAAGGUGGAGAAUACAACCCAACUCUUAUGGCUUCUAGUCACUGCUCAGUUCAGACAGCACAGUCUCAUCUAGCAGGCCAAUUCUCACUCAUUCACUAACACCAGUCACUGAAAAGUUUUCCUCCCCUACAACAGCAUCUAUUUGCUUUAUCUCUCCUUCUUUCCUUUCUUCCUUCCUUCCUUUCUUCCUCUCCUUCCCUUUUUCACUCUCCCCCUCUCUCCUUCCUCUUUCUCCUUUUUUCUCGCUCCCUCUCUUCCUUUGUGUUUUCUUCCUUUCCCCCCUCUCUCUUUCUUUCCCUCCUUUCCUCUCUUUCCCUUUAUUUUCUUUCAUUCUUAUCAUAGGCAAAGUAAACUUUGCCGUCACCAUGUUUCAGGAAACUCAGUUCUUGUGUAUCCGGCCCAUGGUGAUGAGGAAAACACAACGGGCAAUGAUUUUUGUUCUCUCUAAAUUUCCCUGUUCUAUAAGAAUUAUUUGCUGACAGAAGAACUGUAUAUGGGAGUGGCUCCAAAACCCUGUAUACACACAGCAUUAGUGGGAAAAUAAAAUGUCUUCCCUGUGGACAAUUCUAUUAUCAAUUAUCUAUGAGUGACAAGACAUAGUAUUUAUAGGACAAAAAACAUGAAAAAUAAAUUAUCUUACCUGACAUCAACAGAGAAUGCAUCAUUUUUACAUAAAGAAUUAUCUGUAUUCUGAACGUCUGAGUGAUUUGCAUUUCAACUUUUUAUCUGUAAUUCUGUUUAUAGAAAAUAUUCUAAAACUAGUUAACACAUUUCCCUUAGUUUUUAAAUAAAAUAAAAUGACCUUAUGUUGGAGAACAUUUUCAUAAAGAAUAUUAAUAAUCUAAUUCUUCUCCAACUAGUACCUUAAAACCAAGGUCAAUACUGGUUGACAUCCUUUCAAAAUAUCAUGUGAAUACCCUUAGCAGCCAUUAAGGAACAGAUCCCUGUUUAGCUGAAGCCCACUUGAACUCCAGGGGUGGCCUGCUAACACACUCAGGCCCGAUACUCUAGUUUCUCUUUGCUGAACAGCAUAUAGGAUAGAACAUAUGCAUUUGGGUCACAAGGCCCUGACUGAAAAUUCACUUACUAUGUGUGAAAUUAAGGCAAGUUAAGUAACCUGUAAGAGCUUCGACUCACACGUACAGUGAGAAUAAAAAUGACUACUCAACAGAUUGUUGACAAUAGAUAAUGCACUAACAAAGUACACUAUUCACGUUAGUAUCUCUAACUGGUAAAUGCUCAAUGAGCAUUCACUCCUGUGCUCUUCUACUCUCUGAUGUCAGAUGCUGCUCACUUACAGGAGAGUGUCUACUGUCAUUAACUCUGUAUUGCAUUCUACUGUUCUCCUUUACACUGCUUUUUCUCUUUUCUUCUUCUCCUGUUUAUUUUUGUUUCCUUUUGCACCCAAAUAACUUUUUUCUAUAAGAAGUAGUAACAACUAGAAUGUUCUAAGCCUUCUGAUCAGUGAACUGGUUCAUUGGUGUCCUGGCUUCUCAUCAGUUCUUUUUAUGUUCAGAUCCCCACUGACUUCUCAAAGUUGACUUCCAAAUGGUCCAAAGGAUCCAUUUGGACCAUUGGGAAUUGUUUUGCUAUAGCUUUACUCAAAACCCCCAGGACUCCCAUACACACCUAUACAUUUGGUUACUGUAAACCUUAGAUCUUUUCCAGAUUCCUGUGGUGGUACCCAGACAGCUAAGUUUUGUCUGUACUCCCAUUAUAUCUUGGAAGUAACUAACUUGUUUCUGAUUUUACAGUCUCAUAGGUGGAAGGGAUUUGUCUUGCCUCAGAUCAGACUCUGGACUUGGACUUUUGAGUCGUUAAUGGAAUGAGUUAAGACUUUGGAGUGACCAUUGGAAAAGCAUGACUGUGUUUGAAAAUGUGAGAAGGACUUGAGAUUUGGGAGGGGCUGAGGCAGAAUUAUAUGGUUUGGCUCUGUGUCCCCAGCCAAAUCUCAUAUAAAACUGUAAUUUUCCAUAUUGCAGGAGGGGCCUGGUAGGAGGUGAUUGAGUUCAGGGGGCAGACUUCCCCCUUGCUGUUCUUGUGAUAGAGUUUUCAGAUCUUGCUUGAAAGUGUGUAGCAUUUCCCCCUUCUCUCUCUUGCCCACCAUGUGAAGAUGUGCUUGCUUCCCCUUUGCCUUCCGCCAUGGUUGUAAGUUUCCUGAGGUCUUCACAGAAGCAGAAGCCUGAAUGGCCUGCAGAACUGUGAGCUGAUUAAACCUCUUUUUAAAAUAAAUUACAGUCUCAGGUAUUUCCUUACAGCAGUGUGAAAAUGGACUAAUACAGGAUUGGAGGAAAGUUAGAGAAUAGGCUCAGUGAAAAUAUUGCAUAGCCAUCUUUGCCUUUGAAACUAGAAAUGAAAAUUAAGAGAGAUAAUUAACUUAUUGAUCCUAGGGUUGGAAAACUAUAGUCCAUAAGCCAAAUCAGACCGUAUUCAUCCAAUUACAUAUUGUCUUCUAGCUGCUGCACUACAAUGGGAAAGGAGUGAUUUCUACAAAGACCACAUAGCUGAAAAUGUAAAAAACUGGCCUUUUACAAGAAAAGGUUUACCAACACCUGGAUUAAAAUGCAUUCUAUACAUUUAUAGAGGAGAUCUGAAACAUUUUGGAAAAAUAUUAUUUAGUAUCCACUCCUAUUUUGAGAUUCCAAAAAGCAUGGCAUUUCGAAGAUAUGGUUAUAAGCUUUAUUUCUACUACUGGAAAGUCUGUGAAACCCAAGCAGUUUUUUAAAUUCUCUGAAUUUCAAUUUCCUCUGUAUAAACCAAGCAUAUCGAUAACACCAAAUUCUCAUAUAUAAUAAAGGCUAACUGCCCUGAUAUAUUUGUAUACAAUCUAUAAAGUCUGAACUAUCUUAGUUUUAAUAAGGAACACUCAAGAGUAACCCCACAACUCCCCAAAUACAUUAUAUCUUCAGAGAAACAAUCACUUCUAUUCAUUUUUGUUAAAAUUCUAAAGACUCUUGCCUCCAAAUACCAACUAACAUGCUAUUUCUAUUUUUUCACUUAGCAACUUGAAAUUUAUCUACUGAAUUCCUGUUAUAACAGGUAAGGAAUUCAUUUGUGAUCUACUUGUAGUUUAUCUUUCUAUAGUUCUAUUUAACAAAACUGAAGAUUCGCAUGUUAGUUUUCUACUUUUACCUCUUUUUUCUCCUAUCUACCUUUCAACUUCUGUCAGCUCUACUUUUACUUUAUGAAGAUCAAUAACAUGAUUCUGUUGUAUCUAAAGUCAUUGCAUAUCCUGUAAUUUUUCCAAGUGAAGAGUGUUUUUCAUAGAGUAAUUGACUAACCUUAAUAAAUGUUUAUGAUAUAUUAUAAAAGAGUCAACUGGCUACUUGUUAUAUUUAAAUUAGUAAGUACUGUAAAAUGUAGGGACAUAUAUAAUAUGUACAUACUAUUAAAGAUAUUUUCUUACUUG
Non-coding RNA from Callithrix jacchus (white-tufted-ear marmoset), 7348 nucleotides. Lineage: Eukaryota; Metazoa; Chordata; Mammalia; Primates; Cebidae. The record is from RefSeq and is a predicted model, not a curated record.